Non-coding RNA from Phrynosoma platyrhinos (Desert horned lizard), 70 nucleotides. NCBI's taxonomy places the organism in Eukaryota, Metazoa, Chordata, Lepidosauria, Squamata, Phrynosomatidae. The record is from the annotation of a GenBank genome assembly.
GCCAGCAUAGUGUAGUGGUUUGAGCAUUGGACUACAGCUCUGAGAUCAGGGUUUGAUUCCCUGCUUGGCC